UGGGGAUUCGUCUAGUGGUAGGACAACAGACUCUGAAUCUGUAUGGGAGGGUUCGAAUCCUUCAUCCCCAGCCA
Molecule: transfer RNA, 74 nt
Filed under: Dehalococcoidales bacterium
Lineage: Bacteria; Bacillati; Chloroflexota; Dehalococcoidia; Dehalococcoidales
Description: tRNA-Gln
Rfam family: tRNA
About the family: Transfer RNA (tRNA) molecules are approximately 80 nucleotides in length. Their secondary structure includes four short double-helical elements and three loops (D, anti-codon, and T loops). Further hydrogen bonds mediate the characteristic L-shaped molecular structure. tRNAs have two regions of fundamental functional importance: the anti-codon, which is responsible for specific mRNA codon recognition, and the 3' end, to which the tRNAs corresponding amino acid is attached (by aminoacyl-tRNA synthetases). tRNAs cope with the degeneracy of the genetic code in two manners: having more than one tRNA (with a specific anti-codon) for a particular amino acid; and 'wobble' base-pairing, i.e. permitting non-standard base-pairing at the 3rd anti-codon position.
Source: RNAcentral